RNAcentral lists this ribosomal RNA (253 nucleotides) under uncultured prokaryote. RNAcentral describes it as "partial 16S ribosomal RNA". It matches the Rfam family "Bacterial small subunit ribosomal RNA", at positions 524 to 776 of the family's 1533-position model. The record is from RNAcentral.
UACGGAGGGUGCAAGCGUUGUCCGGAUUUAUUGGGUUUAAAGGGUGCGUAGGCGGCUUUUUAAGUCAGUGGUGAAAGACAACAGCUCAACUGUUGCAGUGCCAUUGAUACUGAAGAGCUUGAGUACAGAUGAGGUAGGCGGAAUUUAUGGUGUAGCGGUGAAAUGCAUAGAUAUUGUCAAGAACACCAAUUGCGAAGGCAGCUUACUAAGUUAUAACUGACGCUGAGGCACGAAAGUGCGGGGAUCAAACAGG